AUGAAGAGUGAUUGUGCUGGAGUGAAGCUCACAAAUGAGAUGGAUAGAUGUGUAUGGACACUGACUAAAACUGUCAAAUUUACGGUUAAGUCGGUGUACGGUGCUAUUAAGGCUAGACAAGUCCCAUGUCCUUUUAGGAAACUUCGGUUCAUUUGGAUUCCUUUAUAUUUAGAAGUUGAAGUGUUCUUGUGGCUGGUUAGUAGGAAAAGUAGGAUGAUCUGUUACAUAGAGGAUGGAUGGGUAGUUCGUGGGUGUAUGUUUUGCAGCCAGUUGGAUGAGGGGAUUGACCAUUUGUUUUUAACUUUCCCGGUAGUGAGGCGUGUUUGGUAUGUGGUGAAAUGUGCUUUGCCUGCAGUCUAG
RNAcentral lists this ribosomal RNA (360 nucleotides) under Triticum aestivum (bread wheat). RNAcentral's name for it is "partial small subunit ribosomal RNA". The record is from RNAcentral. Lineage: Eukaryota; Viridiplantae; Streptophyta; Magnoliopsida; Poales; Poaceae.